UACACGCUGUGACUAGCAUAUCAAUAAGCGGAGGAAAAGAAACUAACAAGGAUUCCCCUAGUAACGGCGAGUGAAGCGGGAAGAGCUCAAAUUUGAAAUCUUAAAGGGUUUCCCUUUACGAAUUGUAGUUUAAAGAAGUGUUUUCUGUUGAGGUUUUGGUAAAAGUUCUUUGGAAUAGGACAUCAUAGAGGGUGAGAAUCCCGUAUUUGACCUUUACUUUCAACUUUGUGAUACACUUUCAAAGAGUCGGAUUGUUUGGGAAUGCAGUCCAAAAUGGGUGGUAAAUUUCGUCUAAAGCUAAAUAUUGGCGAGAGACCGAUAGCGAACAAGUACCGUGAGGGAAAGAUGAAAAGAACUUUGAAAAGAGAGUUAAACAGUACGUGAAAUUGUCAAAAGGGAAGCGUUUGACACCAGUGUUGUUUUUCUGAAAAUCAAUUAAAGAACUGUUUAUGCUAAGCUUGUUUAGACUUUAUCAGCUAAUCUGUUUAGUUUUGAGCUUUUCUUUAAUGCACUUUUCAGUUAACAAGUCAACAUCAAUUUCUUUUGCUGUAAAAAAGCUUGAGGAAGGUGGCUUGAGAUUCGUCUUAAGUGUUUAUAGCCUCUUGCCUAUGCAGUCGGAGAGAUUGAGGUCUGCAGCGUAGAUCCUUCGGGGCUAGAUGCAUUUGCGCUAAGUUAUAGCAUUUUAUAGACAACUUGUUGACUAUGAUUUGUCUUGUAGCUUACUCGCUUAUGUUAUUUUACCUACGCUUAGGAUGUUGAGUCGUAGAGCACGCAG
RNAcentral lists this ribosomal RNA (775 nucleotides) under uncultured Neocallimastigales. Its description in RNAcentral is "partial large subunit ribosomal RNA". It matches the Rfam family "Eukaryotic large subunit ribosomal RNA", at positions 22 to 628 of the family's 3401-position model. The record is from RNAcentral. Lineage: Eukaryota; Fungi; Neocallimastigomycota; Neocallimastigomycetes; Neocallimastigales.